AACUCUUAGCGGUGUAUCACUCGGCUCGUGCGUCGAUGAAGAACGCAGCUAGCUGCGAGAACUAAUGUGAUUUGCAGCAUACACUUUUCAUGGAUACGGUUCACAUUUCUAUGAAACCUCCUGCAACUUCAGUUCCU
RNAcentral lists this ribosomal RNA (137 nucleotides) under Gambusia affinis (western mosquitofish). Its description in RNAcentral is "5.8S ribosomal RNA (ENSGAFG00000018597.1)". It matches the Rfam family "5.8S ribosomal RNA". From Rfam's summary of the family: 5.8S ribosomal RNA (5.8S rRNA) is a component of the large subunit of the eukaryotic ribosome. It is transcribed by RNA polymerase I as part of the 45S precursor that also contains 18S and 28S rRNA. Lineage: Eukaryota; Metazoa; Chordata; Actinopteri; Cyprinodontiformes; Poeciliidae. The record is from Rfam by way of RNAcentral.